RNAcentral lists this ribosomal RNA (468 nucleotides) under uncultured bacterium. Its description in RNAcentral is "partial 16S ribosomal RNA". It matches the Rfam family "Bacterial small subunit ribosomal RNA", at positions 28 to 507 of the family's 1533-position model. The record is from RNAcentral.
GACGAACGCUGGCGGCGUGCUUAACACAUGCAAGUCGAACGGAAAGGCCCUGCUUUUGUGGGGUGCACGAGUGGCGAACGGGUGAGUAACACGUGAGUAACCUGCCCUUGACUUUGGGAUAACUUCAGGAAACUGGGGCUAAUACCGGAUAGGAGCUCCUGCUGCAUGGUGGGGAUUGGAAAGUUUCGGCGGUUGGGGAUGGACUCGCGGCUUAUCAGCUUGUUGGUGGGGUAGUGGCUUACCAAGGCUUUGACGGGUAGCCGGCCUGAGAGGGUGACCGGCCACAUUGGGACUGAGAUACGGCCCAGACUCCUACGGGAGGCAGCAGUGGGGAAUAUUGCACAAUGGGCGGAAGCCUGAUGCAGCAACGCCGCGUGCGGGAUGACGGCCUUCGGGUUGUAAACCGCUUUCGCCUGUGACGAAGCGUGAGUGACGGUAAUGGGUAAAGAAGCACCGGCUAACUACGUG